GAACAGACGAGGAGCUUGCUCCUCUGACGUUAGCGGCGGACGGGUGAGUAACACGUGGAUAACCUACCUAUAAGACUGGGAUAACUUCGGGAAACCGGAGCUAAUACCGGAUAAUAUAUUGAACCGCAUGGUUCAAUAGUGAAAGACGGUUUUGCUGUCACUUAUAGAUGGAUCCGCGCCGCAUUAGCUAGUUGGUAAGGUAACGGCUUACCAAGGCAACGAUGCGUAGCCGACCUGAGAGGGUGAUCGGCCACACUGGAACUGAGACACGGUCCAGACUCCUACGGGAGGCAGCAGUAGGGAAUCUUCCGCAAUGGGCGAAAGCCUGACGGAGCAACGCCGCGUGAGUGAUGAAGGUCUUCGGAUCGUAAAACUCUGUUAUUAGGGAAGAACAAAUGUGUAAGUAACUAUGCACGUCUUGACGGUACCUAAUCAGAAAGCCACGGCUAACUACGUGCCAGCAGCCGCGGUAAUACGUAGGUGGCAAGCGUUAUCCGGAAUUAUUGGGCGUAAAGCGCGCGUAGGCGGUUUUUUAAGUCUGAUGUGAAAGCCCACGGCUCAACCGUGGAGGGUCAUUGGAAACUGGAAAACUUGAGUGCAGAAGAGGAAAGUGGAAUUCCAUGUGUAGCGGUGAAAUGCGCAGAGAUAUGGAGGAACACCAGUGGCGAAGGCGACUUUCUGGUCUGUAACUGACGCUGAUGUGCGAAAGCGUGGGGAUCAAACAGGAUUAG
RNAcentral lists this ribosomal RNA (731 nucleotides) under uncultured Staphylococcus sp. RNAcentral's name for it is "bacterial SSU rRNA". It matches the Rfam family "Bacterial small subunit ribosomal RNA", at positions 68 to 781 of the family's 1533-position model. The record is from RNAcentral. Lineage: Bacteria; Bacillati; Bacillota; Bacilli; Caryophanales; Staphylococcaceae.